This 601-nucleotide ribosomal RNA is filed under the name uncultured bacterium. Its description in RNAcentral is "bacterial SSU rRNA". It matches the Rfam family "Bacterial small subunit ribosomal RNA", at positions 730 to 1335 of the family's 1533-position model. The record is from RNAcentral.
UGUAGCUUUACUGACGUUCAUGCUCGAAGGUGCGGGUAUCGAACAGGAUUAGAUACCCUGGUAGUCCGCACUGUAAACGAUGGAUGCUCGCUGUUUGCCAGUUAUGGUGAGUGGCCCAGCGAAAGCGUUAAGCAUCCCACCUGGGGAGUACGCCGGCAACGGUGAAACUCAAAGGAAUUGACGGGGGCCCGCACAAGCGGAGGGACAUGUGGUUUAAUUCGAUGAUACGCGAGGAACCUUACCCGGGCUUGAAUUGCAGCAGGAUGGAUCAGAGAUGGUUCAGUCCUUCGGGACUGCUGUGAAGGUGCUGCAUGGUUGUCGUCAGCUCGUGCCGUGAGGUGUCGGCUUAAGUGCCAUAACGAGCGCAACCCUUUUCCUUAGUUGCCAUCAGGUAGAGCUGGGCACUCUGGGGAUACUGCCACCGCAAGGUGUGAGGAAGGUGGGGAUGACGUCAAAUCAGCACGGCCCUUACGUCCGGGGCUACACACGUGUUACAAUGGCGCGUACAGAGCGUCGGCCGCCCGCGAGGUCGGUCCAAUCGCCAAAACGCGUCUCAGUUCGGACCGGGGUCUGCAACCCGACCCCGCGAAGCUGGAUUCGC